GUAUCCCCUCUGUAGGCCUCGCAUCUGCCUGCCUCUCGUUCCCUCUCUAAAUCAUGAAAAAUCCCCAAAAAUCCCUAGCUUUCUUCCCUUUCAAUUUCCGACGAGAUUACCGCCUGAACCACCCUCUUCUUCUUCAGUCGACAGCAACGGUCAGCCGUACCGCCGUCAUCCUCCCUCAUCUCUCAAGCCUCUAUCACCGUCUCCCUCUCGACUCCGAUGAGCAGCCGCUAUGAAUCCCCGCCGCCUUCACCGCUUCCCUCCAUACUAAUAUAAAGAUUCGAUUUUUCCUCUUUCCCUUCCAUUUCUUCACUCGAGCUCCAUCCCUGCUCUCCAACAAGACUUCACUCAAAAGGGUAUGUGGAUAUCAACUCUUCCUUUCUGAAUUAAUGAAUCAAUUGGUAGUUAGAUCGUUUAUUGAAGAAAUGGUUCGAAAUCUUGAUUUUGAUGGGAAACCCUUGAAUUGUUGCUGCCAGUUCAAUUGCCCCUUUUUAAGCUGUUGGAUCUUCGUGUUUGUGGCCGAUUAACCCUAAUCUAUCUGUGUAAGAAUUUAGAUGGAUUAUUACCUGUUGUGGGCAGGAAAUGAUUUGGAUGCCCAUAAAUGUGCUAAUCUUACUUGUUUUUUGAUCUUUUUGUGAUGUUAUUCGAGAUGAUAAUGAAGUAUGUUGUCAAAAUAAGUUCUUACUAGUGUGUAUCUAGCUGGAGAGUCAGUUUGUACUAGUUAAUUGCAAAUUAUGUUGGUUAAUGAUAACUAGAUAUCUCUAGUAAUGGUCCAAUAUUUAGUGAAGAACCUGUAUCCUCUGUGACAAUUAGUUUGAAUGUUAAGAUACUUUAGCAUUUGACAUUCUAUUUUUAUUGAGUUAUCCUUUAAAUUUGUAGGUUAGUUUAGAUGAGAUUCAUGUCAAGAUUAAUGGAAAAUUAUUCUGAUUUUGUUGUGUUAUGGUGCUCCUAAUUUCUUACAUGUAGAUUUAUUGGCUCUCUGUUAUAAUUCCAUCUUUUCCUUUAUGAAAUUGAAAAUUUAUGAUUGGAUUGGAUAGGAUAGGAAUCAUGAUUGUAUUCAAAAUUAAUUAAUAAUGCAGGUCACAUCAUUUUAUAGUUACUGGUUAGGGUUUACAACAGUACUGGAAUUCUUUUGGGCGGAUCAAUAUGAUGCUAUGGCUGGCCCAAACAGGAAGUGACAUUGGUUACUUGUCAGCAGAUGAUGGAGUGAGUAAAUUACAGGAGCAAUUUGAGGGAGGGCUUGGUAUUCAAGAAGACGAUAGUGAUGAUGGGCAGAAUGAGUUCAGUGGAGCAGUGGAGUUUGAGGAUCGUAAAGAUUUCAGUGGAAGGAAUGGAGUGGCCGAAGGAAUGGGACCAGAGGUAAAAGAUGAUGACGACAAUGAUGAUGGUGAUGAGGUGAGUAUCUUUGAAAAUGUUGUCAUUACUAUUUUUGAUAGAUCUAAUGAAUAUGGAAAGCUCGGUCAAAGAUGCUUGAGUAUGUGAUUGUUGUUGAGAUAAUAUUUGGUUGAGUGUAGGCACAAAGUGAGCUAGAUGAGGAUCAUUGCUAGUUGACUUGUAGGCACUAUGUUGUAUCACAAGCUAGUAAAUCUACUUUCUUAUUAGCCUUGUGUCAAUUAAAAGUCAUUUAGCUAGAGAACAUUUGAGGAGUGAGCUAUCUAUUCUACGACAGCAUGAACUAACAAAAAAAAAUGUAGAAACCAAGAACUUCUUAAUUAAUUAAAUACUUUAGAUAUUUUUUGAUUGUUGCCAUACAAGUUUAAUGAUGAUUGGUAUGCGCGGUGCUUCUCAAGUGUUCAGUUCAAAUUUUGUACUAUUACGUAAUUUGAGUUAAGAAGAUAGUCCUUUAUGCUUGAGUUUUAUGGGAUUUGUGGCUGAAAUCUUCCAGAAACUGCUAUUGUAUGUCACUGUGGUAUAAUUUUUAGUAUAGGUUUUGUUAGAUUUGCUUUAUUAGCUGCAGUUUAUAAUAGUACGAGAAAUCCAAUCGCUCACAAUUAUCUUGCCACCAUAUGAAGCAGGGAUCUGGACAUUUGUAGUUAACUUUUUAAUAAUUUGAUAUGUGAAGUGUUUAUCCUAUCUGCACUAUAAUAGCUUUUCCUAGACUAAGAUGAUUGGUCUUCCUUAAUUCCUUAAUUUACUAUCUGCACUAUAAUAGCUUUGUCUAUGUGGAAAGCCUACACUUUUUAGAAUUGAGGUUUCUGAUGCUUCAUAGUAUACUUACUAAACUGCUCGUGCAUGAGUUUUUUGAGGAACAUGCUUUCUUUUUCUUUCUUUCUUUUUUACUCGAUUUCUUUGUAUAAUAAUGAAAUACUUGUUUACUUUUUCUUUCUUUUUUACUCGAUUUCGGUCAAGCUUUAUUAGUUGAAAUGCAUCUCAAUGCAGGAAACAUGGAUAAAGAGGAACAGGGUGUUUACUGUUUUAUUAGCUUCAUUUUUGAUGAAAUAGACAAUAUAUAGCUGUAACUUGUAAACCCUCUCUUUCAGAAUUAGAAUUAUAGUAGGCUCUUACAGUUCUAUGACCCGAAAGAUGUAUAUUUACUCUUCUUUAUGUCCUGUAAUGCAAGAUACUGGUUUCAGUGUUGCUGCAAGUUACUUAAACGAUACUCCUGCUCUGAAGAAGGCUGAUAUUGGAAGUGCCGUUCCUUUUCAGAUCGUCGUUCGUCUGUCCGUCGGCAACUCACGCACACCGCACACGGUAAGCCCUCUCUUUCAGAAUUAGAAUUACAGUAGUCUUUUUCUUAUGUUUUUGGAAUUAGAAUUACAGAUUUGCUUGAAUUUGUUUCGAAUUUUACUCUGUUAUUGUAGUUGGGUACAAGGAAUAUAGCUUAGUUUCAUCUUCUUUGCUAAACUUAAUCAUGUGAAGCUUUUAUUAUUAAAUGAAAUAUAAAGUAUUUUCAUAGGACUAGCAGAUAGCUUGAAAUUUGAUAUUUUGGUACUUUGAUUUGGUAUCUAUUUUUUUAUAUUCAUAGCUCUGAUUUCAUGAAGCAUAGAUGGUGUGUAUGAUUUUUAGUUGUCAUUCUAGCUAGGCAUUGACAUUGAACAACGUGAUGAAAUCUUGAAACCAAAUUGCCAUGUUUUGCAGGUGAACUCGGGUUGGCUAUGUUUUGCAGGUGAACUCGCUCGUGUUGGUGGAGGGUAAUCUUCUUCUCAUUUUAACAAUAUAGAUAGAAUAUUGAGAUCUUGAAGAUUACUUAUGUGUUUUUUGUAAAACCUUUUACCAAAAUAUUGAAUCCAAACCAAUGUCUUGCUUUUGAGAAAAUCAUUCAUCAUAUUUAUAUAUCUAUCAAAUUUGAUUUAGAUUCUGCAUUCUAUUAUAUUACUAUGCAUCAAUAUUUGAUAUAACUCACAUGUUGCCGGAUUUUUUUAAUUCUCCAGCUCAUUAGUGUAAUUGAGUUUAUCAUCUUGGCGGAUCAAGUAGAUGGGAGUCGAUGAGCUAUGAGGACUACUACAAAAGAGAAGGCUGAAGCAGAGAACGUCGUUUCAAAUGUCUAGCAAGUUGCGCGCAUUUGUAAUAUUUUUUAAUUAAUCAUAUAGCUAACUAGAAUAUUUGUGUUGUUUUCAUUAUAUUUGGAUGAUAAUGUAUGAAUAUUUCAGAUGUUAUAUAAUAUAUGUUAUCGAUGGCAA
Molecule: long non-coding RNA, 3617 nt
Filed under: Salvia miltiorrhiza (redroot sage)
Lineage: Eukaryota; Viridiplantae; Streptophyta; Magnoliopsida; Lamiales; Lamiaceae
Description: long non-coding RNA (SMIL_LNC006458)
Source: RNAcentral